UUGGAGGGCAAGUCUGGUGCCAGCAGCCGCGGUAAUUCCAGCUCCAAUAGCGUAUAUUAAAGUUGUUGCAGUUAAAAAGCUCGUAGUUGAAUUUCGGGAUCAAUAUAUCGGUCGUGCCUUGGUACGUACUGGUAUCAUUGGUUUCUCCUUUCUGACGAACCAUGAUGUCAUUAAUUUGGUGUUAUGGGAAGUUAGGACUGUUACUUUGAAAAAAUUAGAGUGUUUAAAGCAGGCUUUAGCUUGAAUACAUUAGCACGGAAUAAUGAAAUAGGACGUUCGAACCUAUUUUGUUGGUUUCUAGGAUCAACGUAAUGAUUAAUAGGGAUAGUUGGGGGCAUUAGUAUUCAAUUGUCAGAGGUGAAAUUCUUGGAUUUAUUGAAGACUAACUACUGCGAAAGCAUUUGCCAAGGAUGUUUUCAUUAAUCAAGAACGAAAGUUAGGGGAUCGAAGACGAUCAGAUACCGUCGUAGUCUUAACCAUAAACUAUGCCGACUAGGGAUCGGAUGAUGUUAAUUUUUUAAUGACUCAUUCGGCGCCUUACGGGAAACCAAAGUGUUUGGGUUC
This 564-nucleotide ribosomal RNA is filed under the name uncultured Glomeromycotina. RNAcentral describes it as "SSU rRNA". It matches the Rfam family "Eukaryotic small subunit ribosomal RNA", at positions 548 to 1114 of the family's 1831-position model. The record is from RNAcentral. Lineage: Eukaryota; Fungi; Glomeromycota.